GCCUGGCGAAAAAGCAAGACUCCAUCUCAAAAAGAAAAAGAAAAUCCUUUGCAAUAUAUAAAGCAUUAAGCAUUCAUGCUCUAUCAGACAAGCCUGUGUUCAAUCCUUGCUUCACCAUCUGGUGUCUAUGUGACUUUGGGAGUAAUUCACCAUUCUAUGAUCCAGGUUGUGGUGAGAAUUAAAUGGUGAUGCAUGUUAAAAAAAAAAAAAAAAAAGCAUAGCACUGAGUUUAUAAUAAGCUGUCAAAUGUUAUCUAUUAUCAUUAUUAUUAAAAAGUUAUAAAGAAACUGGAAACCUCAUAAAUUGCUAUGAAUACAACAUAAAUUGCUAUGGUACAGCCGCUAUGGAAAACAGUUUGGCAGGUCCUUAAAAAGUUAAACACAGAAUUACCAUAUGACCUAACAAUUCUACUCCUAGUUAUAUACAGGAGAGAAGUGAAAAUACGUGUUCACAGAAAAACUUGUACACAAAUGUCCAUAGCAGCAUUAUUCCUAAUAGACAACAAAGUGGGAAACAAGCAAAUGUCCAUCAACUGAUGAUGGAUACAUAAAAGAUGCUAUUAUCCAUAUAAUGGAUGAGUAUUUGGCAAUAAAAAGGAAUGAGAUGAUACAUGAUACAAUGUACAUAAACCUGGAAAUCAUUAUACUAAUACUAAGUGAAAGAAAAUACAAAAGACCACAUAUUUUAUGAUUCCAUUUAUAAGAAAUGUCCAGAGUAGGCAAAUCCAUACAGAUGGAUACAGGGGAAAAGGUGGGUGUGAUUGAUACUGAUUGAUAACAGAUACAAGGCUUCUUACUGAGAUGUUAGAAAAGUUCUGGAAUUAGUGGUUAUGUUUGCACAACAUAGUGAAUACACUAAAAACCAAUGAACUGUACACUUCAAAAUGGUGAAUUUUAUCUUAUGUGAAUUAUAUCUCAAUAAAAAACACAAAAUACUAACAAUGCAUAUAAAAAUUAAGAGUGUUAAUCUUAAUUUACUUUUGAGAAAUACAACAGUAAAGGAACAUCUAGUUCUUGUCAAAAUACAACCUAAUUAUCAAAUGACAAAAGGUGACCUUUAUGAUUUGUUAACAGAUGACAAUGGGCCUUUCUGAAAUUGCUGUUUAGAUCAAGGCCAUCUAUUGCCAAAUUUAUUCAUUUUCAAGGGAUUUCUAAACCUAAUACUAGGUACUUUACUUUCAGGGUACAUAUGAAUACGAUCAUCUCCUGUUGAGGGGUAGAAAAACACCCCAGAAAAGACACACUAGGUUAUUUUCUUUCUUUUUUUUUUUCUGAAACGGAGUCUCGCUCUGUCACCAGGGUGGAGUGCAGUGGUGCAAUCUCGGCUCACCGCGAUCUCGGCUCACUGCAACCUCCGCCUCCCUGCAACUUCCGCCUCCCAGAUUCAAGCGGUUCUCCUGCCUCAGCCUCCGGAGUAGCUGGGCGCUUGCCACCACGCCCAGCUAAUU
Molecule: long non-coding RNA, 1447 nt
Filed under: Homo sapiens (human)
Lineage: Eukaryota; Metazoa; Chordata; Mammalia; Primates; Hominidae
Description: HSALNT0178639
Source: RNAcentral